GCCACACCCCUUUUCCACACAAUCAAUCUCAUCACAGUUUCACACCGUCGGCUAGGGUUUCAUAAUCUAACCAGAAAAGGGUAAAACUUACGCUUUCCGAUCACCAUGAGAGCCAAGUGGAAGAAGAAGAGAAUGAGGAGAUUGAAGAGGAAGCGCCGAAAGAUGAGGCAGAGAUCUAAGUAAUCUGUUUGUUGCUAAUCAUCAUCGGUAUCGUAUUAGUUUCUGUUUUAUGUUGUUUGUUUGGAUUUCUCCUACUCUUUAGUUGGAUUGUUAUUUGGAUACCGAGAUUAUAAUCAUACCGUUUUAUUUCAUAUGUGUUGUGUUGGUUGUUUACAUUUAUGCAUCAGUAGUUUAUUCAAUCAUAUUCUUUCUUGGAUUAUAAUUCAAUAUGAUGGUAUCACACUCAAGUUUUUCAGAUUCUAUUUGAAUUAUAUAUUUCUGAUAUGUGC
Molecule: long non-coding RNA, 449 nt
Filed under: Helianthus annuus (common sunflower)
Lineage: Eukaryota; Viridiplantae; Streptophyta; Magnoliopsida; Asterales; Asteraceae
Description: sRNA HanXRQr2_Chr14g0666281
Source: RNAcentral